RNAcentral lists this ribosomal RNA (799 nucleotides) under uncultured bacterium. RNAcentral's name for it is "bacterial SSU rRNA". It matches the Rfam family "Bacterial small subunit ribosomal RNA", at positions 8 to 802 of the family's 1533-position model. The record is from RNAcentral.
AGAGUUUGAUCCUGGCUCAGGAUGAACGCUAGCGGCAGGCUUAACACAUGCAAGUCGAGGGGCAGCACAGGUAGCAAUACUGGGUGGCGACCGGCGCAAGGGUGCGUAACGCGUGAGCAACAUGCCCGUAUCAGGGGGAUAAUCCAUGGAAACGUGGUCUAAUACCCCAUAGUAAGUUUUUGAGGCAUCUCAAGGAUUUUAAAGCUUUGGUGGAUACGGAUUGGCUCGCGUGACAUUAGCUGGAUGGUAGGGUAACGGCUUACCAUGGCUACGAUGUCUAGGGGUUCUGAGAGGAAGGUCCCCCACACUGGAACUGAGACACGGUCCAGACUCCUACGGGAGGCAGCAGUGAGGAAUAUUGGACAAUGGAUGGAAAUCUGAUCCAGCCAUGCCGCGUGCAGGAAGACGGCCCUAUGGGUUGUAAACUGCUUUUGUAUGGGAGCAAUAAGAUCUACGUGUAGAUUGAUGAGAGUACCAUACGAAUAAGCACCGGCUAACUCCGUGCCAGCAGCCGCGGUAAUACGGAGGGUGCAAGCGUUAUCCGGAUUUAUUGGGUUUAAAGGGUGCGUAGGCGGUUUGAUAAGUCAGCGGUGAAAUAUUUCAGCUUAACUGGAAGGGUGCCGUUGAUACUGUCGAGCUUGAAUUUAGUUGCUGUGGGUGGAAUGUGUGGUGUAGCGGUGAAAUGCAUAGAUAUCACACAGAAUAUCGAUUGCGAAGGCAGCUCACAAAGCUAAUAUUGACGCUGAUGCACGAAAGUGUGGGGAUCAAACAGGAUUAGAUACCCUGGUAGUCCACACUG